Papaver somniferum (opium poppy) is the source of this 2639-nucleotide long non-coding RNA. RefSeq lists it as uncharacterized. Lineage: Eukaryota; Viridiplantae; Streptophyta; Magnoliopsida; Ranunculales; Papaveraceae. The transcript has 2 exons. The record is from RefSeq and is a predicted model, not a curated record.
GUUUUAUAAAAAAAACGGCAAUGCUACAUGGCGCUCUAAACUAAGCCCUAGUCUGCGCCCAAUCCAAGGUGGCAGAGUGACGUGUUUCUAUGUCACGUGAAGUCGUGAAUAAUCAGCUCUUUCUUUUUUUCUCUCUCUAAUCUCCAUUAUAAAGAAGGAAAAAAAAGGAAAUUGCUCUCUCAUCCCUCCUCUUUUGUGCUUAGAUUGACAGAUUUGUUGAGGAGCGAUGAUGUUGUAGUAUCCCUAUUUUUGAAUGCAGAACGAUGAUGAUGCUGAAACGAUUUUCUUCAUUGACUUUCGCCACUUUUCCUUCUCUUUCUUUCUGGGAAGAGAUAUCAAAAUCAAUCAGCCCAAAAUCAAUCUUUUCUUUGAUCGACAAAUCGUAAAAUUAAUCUUAUCUAUCUUCUUAUUGAAUCUUCUGGUAACAACACUGAAAGUCAUCUUCUUCAGAUCCCUUGCACAAUAAAAUUGGAAAGACACAAUUCAAGUUUCGGUUUUUGUUUUUCAUGUCUGUUACUCAUGGAACAGAUGGGAUUUUCCAAUGGGCAAAAACCCAUCUCUUACAUAGAUCAAUAUCAAGAUCUUGUAAUAACUUUUUAAAAUUAAAAUUAAAAUUUAGAUGAUUUUCCAGACAAAUUACUAAGAAAAAGAGAACCGAUUUACUGAUUUUAAAUACUCUUAUUGAUUUUUGAUUGAAGAUUGGUUUCCCUUUUAGAUCUUAAAUUAACAAAGAAAUUGAUUAAAGAUUGGGGUUUCCCUUUUUGUUCUUAAACAAAGAAAACAUUGAAGAAGAGCGAUAAGUGUAAUUUGAAGGUUCACGUGGGUCUUGUACAACUAAGCUAUCCACCUAAGCUUGGGCGUAGAAUGAGGGAUUAGAAUAGCAUUAGAUGUUUUGUGUCUAACCCUAUAAAUAGAGGCUUUAAUGUUUGUCUAUAUGAUCAAGGUUUAUAAUCGAAGUAUGUUUAUCUUUGGAUGGCGUUUGCCUUUAUCUCUACAAAUAGUCAUAGCGUUUGCCUCAUUGGUGAUUUGCUCGUUGAAGCAAAGGAUUCACAGUUUUUGCAGGUCAGUAUGAUCGAUCAGAAUUGGUGGUAUUCUGAAUCGGUUGUUCAAAGUCUGGACUCGUUUUACCCAACAAUUAGGUCAAAACAACGUAAUAUUUGGAAAUUUCAAAAUUCAAAUAUAAAUCUCAGGAUUAGAGCCUCUUUUCAAUUUCAAAAAGUCUUGACAUCUUCAGAAAAGUUUCCUUUUUCAACAGACUCAAGAAAUCUCUGUGAAUUAUCUUCAUUUAUAUAUUUUAGGGUUUUCUCAGAUCCUAAUUUUUCUCUAAACACUAACUAGAAUGACUAUAAAAUAACAAUAUGUAACAAUAGGUUCUCAUCUCAAUCUCUUAGUAGAAAUCCCUCAAAGUUUCUCUAUUUUUCUCUAUCGCCAACUUGUGGAGAAAUAGGCUUCUUCUCCUAGCAAAAAUUCUGAGAAUAAGGAUGUUUCCCACAUCACCUCUAAGUUAAAUAUCACUAAUUUGGAGCAAGUUUUAUCCUCAACUGGAAAUCCUGGUCAUGAUUAUGUUGAAGAUUUGAAUGAAGAAACUGAUGAUAUGGAGAUUAGUCUUAUUGGUAUGAUAAUCAAGGAAGGGAAGAUGUCAGGAAAAGAUGUCCAGAAUCAAGUUAAGUUUACUUGUAAUUUUCUUCCAGAGGAGGAUGUGAAAGUCAUUGUGCUAGACAAAAACAUUAUCAUCUUUAAAUUUGGUAUUUGGGUUCAGUUGAAGAUGUUUUUCGAAACAAGACCAUGGUGUAUCAAUGAUAAUUUGGUUGUCUUGCAUCAUUAUAACCCCUCAAUUAUCUAUGAGGAGCUGGAAUGGGAUUUCCAAGAGUUCUGGAUAAAUUUGAAGUACUUGAUGCGAGCAUAUGAAUCAAAACAGAGUGAAGGAAAUGGGAGAAGUUAUGGGAGAAGUGACUGCAAUUGAACCAGAAUCUAGUUUACCUGAACCUGGUGAAGUUUUCAAAGUCUAUGUGAAGAUUAAUUUGGCCAGUCAACUCAGAAGAGGUGUUCUAUCUAUAACUGUUGCGGGAUCAACAAGAUGGGUUUGCUAUUUCUAUGAGAAGCAACCUCACAAGAUCUGUCCAUAGUGUUAUGUUCUUACGCAUUCAAAAGAAAAAUGUAGUGAUGCUGCUAAGACACUGGAAAGUAUUCACAAGACUCCAGUUCCUUUUGGAAAGGUGAAGGUGGGAAAGAAGACUCAUAUUGUUCAACAUCAAAUAUCUGCUCCCAAUUUGAAGCAAAAUUCUAGAAAACCUUUGAAGUCGGAUCCCUUCAUCCCUCCUGCUGAUAGGUUUAUUGUUCCUGAGUAUGCCAACAGAGUCAUUGAAAAUCCAGAGCCAGUUCCUUAAUUAGAAUUAGGACCUGAAGCCAUAUUAGGUAAAAGACAGAGAUCUUCCAUUCCUCAAGACUCCCUGAAUAUCUAUGAUUCUAAUAUCACCAAUCCAAUUUAUGACCAGUCAAGGAAUCCUCACCAAUGGAGAUGACUGCUGGAGAUAGUAUUCAGGUUUCAGAUAAGAUUAAGCAUCCUGCAAGUACAACUGGGGAGAAUCAAGUAUUUUCCAACUACAAAACUUUUAUAAUAGCACUUUAUUCCAACUUUC